GACGAACGCUGGCGGCGUGCUUAACACAUGCAAGUCGAACGGAAAGGCCCUGCUUUUGUGGGGUGCUCGAGUGGCGAACGGGUGAGUAACACGUGAGUAACCUGCCCUUGACUUUGGGAUAACUUCAGGAAACUGGGGCUAAUACCGGAUAGGAGCUCCUGCUGCAUGGUGGGGGUUGGAAAGUUUCGGCGGUUGGGGAUGGACUCGCGGCUUAUCAGCUUGUUGGUGGGGUAGUGGCUUACCAAGGCUUUGACGGGUAGCCGGCCUGAGAGGGUGACCGGCCACAUUGGGACUGAGAUACGGCCCAGACUCCUACGGGAGGCAGCAGUGGGGAAUAUUGCACAAUGGGCGGAAGCCUGAUGCAGCAACGCCGCGUGCGGGAUGACGGCCUUCGGGUUGUAAACCGCUUUCGCCUGUGACGAAGCGUGAGUGACGGUAAUGGGUAAAGAAGCACCGGAUAACUACGUGC
This 469-nucleotide ribosomal RNA is filed under the name uncultured bacterium. RNAcentral's name for it is "partial 16S ribosomal RNA". It matches the Rfam family "Bacterial small subunit ribosomal RNA", at positions 28 to 508 of the family's 1533-position model. The record is from RNAcentral.